UACAGAGGUCUCAAGCGUUGUUCGGAUUCAUUGGGCGUAAAGGGCGCGUAGGCGGCGCGAUAAGUUGGGCGUGAAAGGCCCGGGCUCAACCCGGGGACUGCGCUUGAUACUGUCGCGCUGUGAGUCCGGGAGAGGAUGGCGGAAUUCCCAGUGUAGAGGUGAAAUUCGUAGAUAUUGGGAAGAACACCGGUGGCGAAGGCGGCCAUCUGGACCGGCACUGACGCUGAGGCGCGAAAGCGUGGGGAGCAAACAGG
RNAcentral lists this ribosomal RNA (254 nucleotides) under uncultured bacterium. Its description in RNAcentral is "partial 16S ribosomal RNA". It matches the Rfam family "Bacterial small subunit ribosomal RNA", at positions 524 to 776 of the family's 1533-position model. The record is from RNAcentral.